GAGCCGGUGGCCAGGCUGGAAGGCAAGCGCGUGGUGAGCGCCUCGGGCGCGGCGCGUGUAGCCGACGUGGUGAUCUUCGCGACCGGCUUC
RNAcentral lists this transfer RNA (90 nucleotides) under compost metagenome. Its description in RNAcentral is "tRNA-Thr". The record is from RNAcentral.